UUUUGGUUCAGUGGUAGAAUGCUCGCCUGCCACGCGGGCGCCCCAGGUUCGAUUCUGGAUGCAU
This is a non-coding RNA of Cordylochernes scorpioides, 64 nucleotides long. The record is from the annotation of a GenBank genome assembly. Lineage: Eukaryota; Metazoa; Arthropoda; Arachnida; Pseudoscorpiones; Chernetidae.